GGCGGCRAGGGGGAGCAAUCCCCCCUAGAGCGGCGGACUGGUGAGUAACGCGUGGGCGACCUGCCCCGGGGAUGGGGACAGCCGUUGGAAACAGCGGGUAAUACCGAAUACGUCCGAUUGUAUACGUGCAGUUGGAGAAAGGGGCUUAGGCCCCGCCCCGGGAUGGGCCCGCGUCCCAUUAGCUAGUUGGUGUGGUAAGAGCGCACCAAGGCGAAGAUGGGUAGCCGGCCUGAGGGGGCGAACGGCCACACUGGGACUGAGAUACGGCCCAGACUCCUACGGGAGGCAGCAGCUAAGAAUAUUCCGCAAUGGACGAAAGUCUGACGGAGCGACGCCGCGUGGAUGACGAAGGCCGAAAGGUUGUAAAAUCCUUUUGCGGGCGAAGAAGAAGGUCUGGAGGGAAUGCCAGACCGGUGACGCCGGCCCGCGAAUAAGCUCCGGCUAAUUACGUGCCAGCAGCCGCGGUAACACGUAAGGGGCGAGCGUUGUUCGGAAUUAUUGGGCGUAAAGGGCGCGUAGGCGGCCGCGUAAGUCUGAUGUGAAAACCCCGGGCUCAACCCGGGAACUGCAUUGGAAACUGCGCGGCUUGAGUCACGKAGGGGAAGCCGGAAUUCCGGGUGUAGGGGUGAAAUCUGUAGAUAUCAGGAAGAACACCGAUGGCGAAGGCAGGCUUCCAGCCGAUGACUGACGCUGAGGCGCGAAAGUGCGGGGAGCAAACAGGAUUAGAUACCCUGGUAGUCCGCACUGUAAACGAUGCACMCUAGGCGUCGGGGCGAGCGUUCCGGUGCCGAAGCGAACGCGGUAAGUGUGCCKCCUGGGGAGUAUGCCCGCAAGGGUGAAMCUCAAAGGAAUUGACGGAAUCGAAUUCCCGCG
RNAcentral lists this ribosomal RNA (873 nucleotides) under uncultured bacterium. Its description in RNAcentral is "bacterial SSU rRNA". It matches the Rfam family "Bacterial small subunit ribosomal RNA", at positions 65 to 931 of the family's 1533-position model. The record is from RNAcentral.